RNAcentral lists this ribosomal RNA (242 nucleotides) under uncultured bacterium. RNAcentral describes it as "partial 16S ribosomal RNA". It matches the Rfam family "Bacterial small subunit ribosomal RNA", at positions 118 to 348 of the family's 1533-position model. The record is from RNAcentral.
UGGGUAACCUGCCUCAAAGAGGGGAAUAGCCUCCCGAAAGGGAGAUUAAUACCGCAUAAUAUGUUUAGGUCGCAUGACUUUAACAUCAAAGGAUUUUCUUUUAGAAAUUCCACUUUGAGAUGGACCCGCGGCGCAUUAGCUAGUUGGUGAGGUAACGGCUCACCAAGGCAACGAUGCGUAGCCGACCUGAGAGGGUGAUCGGCCACAUUGGAACUGAGACACGGUCCAGGCUCCUAGGGAGG